Long non-coding RNA from Anguilla rostrata (American eel), 685 nucleotides. RefSeq lists it as uncharacterized. The transcript is spliced from 2 exons. NCBI's taxonomy places the organism in Eukaryota, Metazoa, Chordata, Actinopteri, Anguilliformes, Anguillidae. The record is from RefSeq and is a predicted model, not a curated record.
AUAGUUAAAUAAAUUAUCCAAUACACAAAAUAUCUAUUCAAAGAUGUAAUGAUAUAAACUAUAAUAAGUUACAGUUUUUCUUAAAUGUUUAAACACUAAAACUGGAACUAUGCACACGAUGGUGAAAACUUGAAGCUCAUGUGUCAACAACAAAGACUAUUUUCACAAAACUCUAAGCACAAUUCCUUUGUUUUCACUCAAAUAGCAAUUCUAAAUCACAUUUUUGCACAACUCUACACACAAAAUCUCAUCAUUUAGCACAAUUUUCAUAAUCAAGCCUUGUUUGUUCACAUGGAAAACACUGGCCUUCAAAUGCCAAACUUUAAGUACCAAUUGGUCUCACUCAUGCCACACCUGCUCAAACUCAAUUGGCUAAACUUUUCAAUUAUCUGUCAGAGCAUAAAAGAGACCUCAGGUGACUUCUAUUGAGUUGGAAAACAAUGGAGCAACAUGCAGCACAGCAAGGUAGAGGUAGAGGUAGAGGUAGAGGAGGUGUACGUGUACGAGGUGGACGAGGAAGAGGGAGAUGAGCUAACAUUUCAAAUGAAAUACGUGGAACUUUGGUUGAUCACAUAUUUGUUUUUUGUUUUUUUUUACAGCAGGCCUACAAACUACGAUUUUUAUUUUUGCAGUCUGCUGAACAAAGAUUUAUUUUACAGUAACAAAUAAAGAUUUGCUUUGUUAC